UACUAACCCCGCGUUAGGAAUUGUAAUGACAUCCUUUUUUACUUUUUUAAAAAAGAUAUAAUGUAAAGCCCAACCCCUG
This 79-nucleotide small RNA is filed under the name Flaviramulus basaltis. RNAcentral's name for it is "Flavo-1 RNA". It matches the Rfam family "Flavo-1 RNA". Lineage: Bacteria; Pseudomonadati; Bacteroidota; Flavobacteriia; Flavobacteriales; Flavobacteriaceae. The record is from Rfam by way of RNAcentral.